Molecule: ribosomal RNA, 490 nt
Filed under: uncultured bacterium
Lineage: Bacteria
Description: partial 16S ribosomal RNA
Rfam family: Bacterial small subunit ribosomal RNA
Source: RNAcentral
AUUGAACGCUGGCGGCAGGCCUAACACAUGCAAGUCGAACGGUAACAGGAAGAAGCUUGCUUCUUUGCUGACGAGUGGCGGACGGGUGAGUAAUGUCUGGGAAACUGCCUGAUGGAGGGGGAUAACUACUGGAAACGGUAGCUAAUACCGCAUAACGUCGCAAGACCAAAGAGGGGGACCUUCGGGCCUCUUGCCAUUGGAUGUGCCCAGAUGGGAUUAGCUAGUAGGUGGGGUAACGGCUCACCUAGGCGACGAUCCCUAGCUGGUCUGAGAGGAUGACCAGCCACACUGGAACUGAGACACGGUCCAGACUCCUACGGGAGGCAGCAGUGGGGAAUAUUGCACAAAGGGCGCAAGCCUGAUGCAGCCAUGCCGCGUGUAUGAAGAAGGCCUUCGGGUUGUAAAGUACUUUCAGCGGGGAGGAAGGGAGUAAAGUUAAUACCUUUACUCAUUGACGUUACCCGCAGAAGAAGCACCGGCUAACUCCGUG